Molecule: small nuclear RNA, 108 nt
Organism: Heterocephalus glaber (naked mole-rat)
Lineage: Eukaryota; Metazoa; Chordata; Mammalia; Rodentia; Bathyergidae
Source: Ensembl
GUGCUCGCUUCGGCAGCACAUAUACUAAAAUUGGAACGAUACAGAGAAGAUUAGCAUGGCCCCUGCACAAGGAUAACACGCAAAUUCGUGGAAGCGUUCCAUAUUUUU